RNAcentral lists this ribosomal RNA (366 nucleotides) under Triticum aestivum (bread wheat). RNAcentral's name for it is "partial small subunit ribosomal RNA". The record is from RNAcentral. Lineage: Eukaryota; Viridiplantae; Streptophyta; Magnoliopsida; Poales; Poaceae.
AUGGUCUCUGUCCGCCAUCCAUUCGAGCCAUUUCCAUCGAAGCCUGAGCGCCCUGCCAAAACGUUUGAUAUCCAUGAUGCCCAACCUGCCCAUGUCUUUAGGUCGACAGACGGUGUUCCAGUUAACCAGGGCCAAACCGACAGCUGCGACCGGCUUAGACCACCAGAGGAAGUUCGUGCGCAGCUUGUCAAUUUGCUUAAUGACCCAAGAAUCAAGCUUGAAGACCGUGAUCAGGUAAGUUGGGAUAACAGACAACACCGAGUUCACCAACCGCAGUCGUUCAUCACUGUUGAGAAGCUUUCCUUUGCACUUCUGCAGUUUUGCAGCUAUUUUUAUCUAGGACCGGUUGUAUUUCAGCUCACGUGA